Non-coding RNA from Populus trichocarpa (black cottonwood), 96 nucleotides. Lineage: Eukaryota; Viridiplantae; Streptophyta; Magnoliopsida; Malpighiales; Salicaceae. The record is from Rfam.
AUCAUCAAUUGAUGAAAAUUGGAAAAAUCUUAGGACACCUUCCUACAUAGCUUUCCUAGCUAUGGAUGAGAAUAAAAUUUCCAUUCUGAUGAUGAU